CGCUCUGUGGCUUAGUGGUUAGUACGUUCGCCUCACACCCCCAGGGUUGGGGUUUGAUUCCCAACGUGGCCC
This is a non-coding RNA of Ameiurus melas (black bullhead), 72 nucleotides long. NCBI's taxonomy places the organism in Eukaryota, Metazoa, Chordata, Actinopteri, Siluriformes, Ictaluridae. The record is from the annotation of a GenBank genome assembly.